UCUCUGUGUGUAUGACCAUCGGCUUCUUCCAGCUAUGUACUGGCCGAUGUGAAGAGAUCUACACCAGGACAGGCAUGGUGGCCGAGUGGACUGGAUUCCUUGGCCUGAUAAUAUACCAACUAAUGAACUAUACAGAUUUCCAGCCUUUGUCUUUAACGUUGUCCCGAGAAGGUGUCUCCAUUGGCCUGAGAGAAAAGACCCAGGACCCUGAAAACCCCCAAUAAGAUCCAAGGGGUGGAGCGCCAAG
This is a long non-coding RNA of Bufo bufo (common toad), 247 nucleotides long. RefSeq lists it as uncharacterized. The record is from RefSeq and is a predicted model, not a curated record. Lineage: Eukaryota; Metazoa; Chordata; Amphibia; Anura; Bufonidae. The transcript has 3 exons.